AUUGAACGCUGGCGGCAUGCCUUACACAUGCAAGUCGAACGGUAACAGAUCUUCGGAUGCUGACGAGUGGCGAACGGGUGAGUAAUACAUCGGAACGUGCCCGAUCGUGGGGGAUAACGAAGCGAAAGCUUUGCUAAUACCGCAUACGAUCUACGGAUGAAAGCAGGGGACCGCAAGGCCUUGCGCGAACGGAGCGGCCGAUGGCAGAUUAGGUAGUUGGUGGGAUAAAAGCUUACCAAGCCGACGAUCCGUAGCUGGUCUGAGAGGACGACCAGCCACACUGGGACUGAGACACGGCCCAGACUCCUACGGGAGGCAGCAGUGGGGAAUUUUGGACAAUGGGCGAAAGCCUGAUCCAGCCAUGCCGCGUGCAGGAUGAAGGCCUUCGGGUUGUAAACUGCUUUUGUACGGAACGAAAAGACUCUGGUUAAUACCUGGGGUCCAUGACGGUACCGUAAGAAUAAGCACCGGCUAACUACGUGCCAGCCGCCGCAGUAA
RNAcentral lists this ribosomal RNA (498 nucleotides) under uncultured bacterium. Its description in RNAcentral is "partial 16S ribosomal RNA". It matches the Rfam family "Bacterial small subunit ribosomal RNA", at positions 30 to 523 of the family's 1533-position model. The record is from RNAcentral.